CACUGGGUCUGCAGGCACCUCUGAAUUCAAAGCGCAUUUGACUCGUCUCCGCGCAGCCCCGGACGUCGCUCUGCAGGAUUUAACAAAUAUAACCUACGGAAAUCCAGCAGCCACCGUGCAUCAAAUAUACAGCUGUAGCCUAUAUUCCCUGGAACCAGCCAGCGGCAAACACUUUAUAACCAGAGAGCGACUGACCGGCUUGCUUUUCGCCAAACAUGGGGCGCCGAGAGAGAAACCCACUGGAGGAAGAGAGGAGAUAGAUUAAUUGAUAGAUAGAGAGGAUAGAAAGGGAAGGGGGGGGGGACGCGUCGAUUGGCCGCGGAACCCGGAGCAGCACCACAACAAUAUCUGACCUCGACCUCCUCGGACGGUGGGAAACUGAUUGUUGAAAUGGAGAUGUCGAGAUUUUGUAUCAUCCCGUCUCCUCCUCCAACACACAUGCUGCUGAGGCUGAUGAUAUUUGCGUAGGAGUGUGUUAUUUUGCGCGCAGCAUUGGUAAAGCAGUCUCUACUGUUCAAACAACUCCAGACAAGCGGUGGAUGGGUUAAUUUGGACUCAAGUCGAGCUCCAUCUCUACUUCGAUAGCUGGCACUUUUUUUUCUUUUUUGCUAUUGGUCUCAUUAUUCAGUGACUGAGGUCGAAACAAAAUACAACCAGCAGAGGUCGAUACCUGAGGUCCAAGGAGCCACCACUACCUUAGAUGUGACCCUGAGAAUUUCUCUUAUCUCUGAAGUGAUGACUACAAGUCCCAUUUCCCCAACAGAAACUUAGAAGCCUACAGUACACGCCCCCUUUUGGUCCAGCCCUGUCACUACGCUGGUGAUCCCCAGUGGGUGAGCGACACGGAGACGUUGACUCUGUGGAACGACGACGCUGUAAGCACCGAUUGGAGGGGUUCCCACAAGACCCUGAAAAGGGCUGUGCCAGCACCCGACAUGCUGUCAGCCUCCUACAGAGAUGAACUUUAGAGCAGAGCAGACAUAGCUGCAGAGAAACUGCAGGUCAGAUGCUGAGAAGCGAAAGUUUCUCAGACUUAAUUUUUGUAAAGACUGUAAAAAGCGAAAGUUUCUCAGACUUAAUUUUUGUAAAGACUGUAAAACAAUGGGUGUUUUAAUACCUGUACAGAUGUCAAUCCAUCUUUUAGACUUUUAUUUUCUUUUAUUCAGACAUUUUUAAUGUGAUGAGUAUAUACUGUUUGUAUGGCUGAUGUCAACAGCAUUUUUGUUUCAAUGUAUGAUUGUGAUGAUUUAUCAUAUAUGGUCUCUACUUUUGAUAAACAUACUUAAAAAAUAAACAAGUAAUUUUGGGAAAUAUUUGUGUUAAAUCAAUGCAGCAUGUUGAGAUGUUGGCAGUGUAGUCUAACUUUGGUUCACCUGAUUUUCAGCAUUCGUCCAGUUUUUUGAGUGCUGCUACUUUUUGGAGGGAAACUAGCUACUUUCCUGUGCUACAUUUUGUGUUAAAAGAUGACUCCAGACGCGUAGCAGAAGUCUGUAAAAGCCAUAUUAAAACACAGCCUUUAAUAACCUUUCUGUAGCAUCACUGGGAUGCUUAAUGUUUUGACACUUUGUCAGCAAAGGGUUGCAAUGCAAGUAACUGAUGUUUUAAUUCUGAUGUCCCUCAUGGAUUUAAAUUACGACGAUCAAGUUAUUACUCUAAACUUAUAUUACAUUCGUCAGUCUUCAUAAGCAUUUAUGAUGAUCUGAUUUCAUGUAUUUGUUUUCUAUCUGUGAUUAGGAGUGUUGCUUUUCCUUCAUAUGUCCUAAUUUAUGUGUUGACUCUUCCUUGAUGUGGUUGAUGGAUGAGUUACAAGACAUGAUGUAAAGCAAGCAAUCAAAGUGCAAUGGCUUUUCUGCCAAAGUCUGUCUCUCUCUCCCUCUCUCUCUCUCUCUCUCUCUCUCUCUCUCUCUCUUUCUCUUUUUUGUUGACUCAAAAAUUGACAAUUGGAAACACAACAAGGGGUGACUCCUUUUGCAUAGUAAUUGCUUCUUUCAUAAACUUUCAUAAUAAUGACAAUCAGAAUAAUC
Molecule: long non-coding RNA, 2024 nt
Organism: Perca fluviatilis (European perch)
Lineage: Eukaryota; Metazoa; Chordata; Actinopteri; Perciformes; Percidae
Exons: 2
Source: RefSeq, a predicted model, not a curated record